Molecule: ribosomal RNA, 595 nt
Filed under: uncultured bacterium
Lineage: Bacteria
Description: bacterial SSU rRNA
Rfam family: Bacterial small subunit ribosomal RNA
Source: RNAcentral
GUGUCUUUCGGGAUGCGAGUAAAGUGGCGCACGGGUGAGUAACACGUAAGCAAUCUACCCUUAGGCCUGGGAUAACCCCGAGAAAUCGGGGCUAAUACCGGAUGAUGCAGCGGCACCGCAUGGUGAUGUUGUUAAAGUUUAUAUGGCGUCUAAGGAUGAGCUUGCGUCUGAUUAGCUUGUUGGUAAGGUAAUGGCUUACCAAGGCUGCGAUCAGUAGCUGGUCUGAGAGGAUGAUCAGCCACACUGGAACUGAGACACGGUCCAGACUCCUACGGGAGGCAGCAGUGAGGAAUAUUGGGCAAUGGGCGAAAGCCUGACCCAGCAACGCCGCGUGGAGGAUGAAUGCCGUAAGGUUGUAAACUCCUGUUAGAGGGGAAGAACAAUCCCGAUAGACUCGGGACAUGACUGUACCCUCAGAGAAAGCUCCGGCUAACUACGUGCCAGCAGCCGCGGUAAUACGUAGGGAGCAAGCGUUGUCCGGAUUUACUGGGUGUAAAGGGCGCGCAGGCGGGUCGGUAAGUCAGAGGUGAAAUCCUACAGCUCAACUGUAGAACUGCCUUUGAUACUGCUGAUCUUGAGUAUGGAAGAGAGAGAC